Molecule: transfer RNA, 73 nt
Filed under: Actinomycetaceae bacterium
Lineage: Bacteria; Bacillati; Actinomycetota; Actinomycetes; Actinomycetales; Actinomycetaceae
Description: tRNA-Ala
Rfam family: tRNA
About the family: Transfer RNA (tRNA) molecules are approximately 80 nucleotides in length. Their secondary structure includes four short double-helical elements and three loops (D, anti-codon, and T loops). Further hydrogen bonds mediate the characteristic L-shaped molecular structure. tRNAs have two regions of fundamental functional importance: the anti-codon, which is responsible for specific mRNA codon recognition, and the 3' end, to which the tRNAs corresponding amino acid is attached (by aminoacyl-tRNA synthetases). tRNAs cope with the degeneracy of the genetic code in two manners: having more than one tRNA (with a specific anti-codon) for a particular amino acid; and 'wobble' base-pairing, i.e. permitting non-standard base-pairing at the 3rd anti-codon position.
Source: RNAcentral
GGGGCUAUGGCGCAGUUGGUAGCGCGUGUCGUUCGCAAUGACAAGGUCGCGGGUUCGAUCCCCGCUAGCUCCA